UGGGGCUGAGCCGCCGGAGUUUGGGCGCCUUCCUGACUCAGGCUCAGUACCAACCAGAGCCGCCGCCUGCCCGCCUUGGGUGCGGACGUGGGGUUUCAGACCCUGCCGUUUCUCUAAAUGCCAGGCAGGAGGCUGGCAGCUGAGCACUGACCACUCACCCUGGGAGACACCCCCGAGAUGCAGACGCCUGCCCACGAGGGGCCAGCUGGCUUGUAUCCUUCCUGUGGCAUCCCCAGCUGGAUAUGCUGACGUCCUAACCCCCAGCACUGCGAACGUGACCUGAUUUGGGCAGAAGAGGCACUGCGGGUACAAUUAGGUGUUCAUUCACCAGCCUCAUCUAUGUCCAGGAGAGCAGAUAGUGGGAAAACAGAAGUCACAGGCAAGAAACUGCUCCUGUCACUCAUCUUCAGGCUGCUGACUGAGGUCCUCCUACUCAGCAUCUGACCCCUAGA
This is a long non-coding RNA of Bubalus bubalis (water buffalo), 452 nucleotides long. RefSeq lists it as uncharacterized. The transcript is spliced from 4 exons. The record is from RefSeq and is a predicted model, not a curated record. Lineage: Eukaryota; Metazoa; Chordata; Mammalia; Artiodactyla; Bovidae.